This 232-nucleotide ribosomal RNA is filed under the name uncultured bacterium. Its description in RNAcentral is "partial 16S ribosomal RNA". It matches the Rfam family "Bacterial small subunit ribosomal RNA", at positions 99 to 334 of the family's 1533-position model. The record is from RNAcentral.
CGGACGGGUGAGUAAUGUCUGGGAAACUGCCCGAUGGAGGGGGAUAACUACUGGAAACGGUAGCUAAUACCGCAUAACGUCGCAAGACCAAAGAGGGGGACCUUCGGGCCUCUUGCCAUCGGAUGUGCCCAGAUGGGAUUAGCUAGUAGGUGGGGUAACGGCUCACCUAGGUGACGAUCCCUAGCUGGUCUGAGAGGAUGACCAGCCACACUGGAACUGAGACACGGUCCAG